Long non-coding RNA from Orcinus orca (killer whale), 5421 nucleotides. RefSeq lists it as uncharacterized. NCBI's taxonomy places the organism in Eukaryota, Metazoa, Chordata, Mammalia, Artiodactyla, Delphinidae. The transcript is spliced from 3 exons. The record is from RefSeq and is a predicted model, not a curated record.
UUAGUGUUUUCAGCUGCAAAAUGAGGAUAAUAAUGGUUCCAAACUCACUGGGUGAUAGGAAGAUUCAAUGGAAUAAUGUAUGUAUACAACAUUAGCAGAGUGCCUGGUAUGGAAGACGGCUCAAUUGAAGAAAAAUCAGGGGCAGGGGUGGGGAUAAAUAAGACCUGACAUGACAAGAACUGACUAGGGAGUAUGAGGAGGGUGCCGCUUAGGUGACUAGAAGGCUGAAGCCAAGAAAAGGUGAGAGAUCCAGGAAGUCUUUGCAUAAGAGACCACGUUUCAGCUGUAGCUCAUAGGUCAGGUCAAAAUCUGCCAGACAGUCAAGCUGGAAGGAGAAUCCCAGGAAGAAAGAAUGGUAUGUGCAAAUAAAGAAAGGCGUGAAACAGUAUGUGUAUAUCCCUGACUAACUUAGCACAGGCUCCGGACGCGCAGGCUCAGCGGCCAUGGCUCAGGGGCCCAGUCGCUCCGCGGCAUGUGGGAUCUUCCCGGACCGGGGCACGAACCCGUGUCCCCUGCAUCGGCAGGCGGACUCUCAACCACUGCGCCACCAGGGAAGCCCGACCCAUGUGUUUUUAACCUCAAAAUGCAUUUGUACCCAAACCCCUGGGACCUCUACCAAACUGACAUCAAGACGAGAAGCUUCUCACAAAGAAUUACACACACAUGCAGAGUGGAUGUAGACUCACAGAGCUCCUGGACUGGUGGCUUACCUCUGUAUUUGGUCUCAAUCCAAAUACUUUAGAAUUCAUUGUCUUACACCUGUCUUCUCUCACCCAUUUAUAUUAAUGCUGAUGGGCAUUUGAGUUUGCAACUCUUAUUAUACCUCUGCCACAGAACAAUGAACGAUAAUCACAAUGAUAACUAUAACCACAGCAACGACCCUCCUAUUUGUAUAAUGAUUUAGAUCCAUGGACCGUCAGCAUCAGCAGCACCUGGAAGCUUGUUAGAAAUGCAGAAUCUCAGGCUCCCUGAACCAGAAUCUGCAUUUUAUUUAUUUAAUUUUGGCUGCGUUGGGUCUCUGUUGCUGCGUGCGGGCUUUCUCUAGUGGCGGCGAGCGGGGGCUACUCUUUGUUGCGGUGUGCAAGCUUCUCAUUGCGAUGGCUUCCCUUGUUGUGGAGCCUGGGCCCUAGAUGCACAGGCUUCAGUAGUUGUGACAUGCGGGCUCUAGAAUGCAGGCUCAGUAGUUGUGACGCACAGGCUUAGUUGCUCCGCGGCAUGUGGGAUCUUCCUGGACCAGGGAUUGAACCUGCGUCCCCUGCAUUGGCAGGAGGAUUCUUAACCACUGCGCCACCAGGGAAGUCCCAGAAUCUACAUUUUAACAAGAUCCCAGGUGAUUCGAUGCACACUAAAGCUUGAGAAGCACUUGUUUAGUAGACCAUUAACAACUGCCAUGGGAACCUGGUCAAAGUUCUUGGGCCUCUGGAUUACCUGCCAUGUUUCCUGUUUUGUCACCUUCUAUCAUUGACUCUAUACCCUAUAUCCUAAAGAGCCUAUGAGUCUGUUUCAGGGACAGCAAAAAAGCUGGGAACUCGAGCAGCGUAUCUGACUUUGUAGGCAGUCUGGGCGGGGAGAGGUGAUGGUAGCUAGAAGGGAGAGACACGCAUGGACCCACAUGGGGCCUACGAGAAACUCAGAAUGCUCCCCAAUAACCAUUCCCUAGUAUAUUUAGAUAUGACCUGGUUACCGGAUACUAAAGCAAGGUUAAGAACACCAAUGGUUAUGGAAUGAAAUCAGGUUGUUGAACACAAGCACAGAGCAAGUGUUUUAGCUAUAAAGAUUAACCAGACAUUUCAGUGUUCUCUGCUAUCAAGUUGUCAUCCAAUCUCAGCUUGUACUCCAGUGACAGGGAGCUCAUUACCUCAUAAGGUAUCUAUUCUGAUUCAUGGGUGACCAGUUCUGUUAGAAAGUCAAUUCCUUGUGUUGAGCUGAAAUAUGCUUUCCCACGGUUUCUAUCCAUUUAUGGGUCCUGGCUCUGCCCCUUGGGGCCUGUACCCCAUCUGCUCUUGCUGUCCUAUAACAGCCCUUCAGAGGUAUGGAAACCACACUGCCUUCGGUCUUCUCUUCUCCAAGCUAAACAGCUCCAGCUCCUUCAACUGCUCCUCAUGGGACCUGGGUUCCAGUUCUCUCCCCAGCCGUCUGGGCUCCCCUUAACUGGAACCCUAGCAAGAUUAAGUGCAAAUGUGCAAAAAGAGAGAUCAAGAGGCUAAGCAUCAGCCUAAACCCAUGGCUGAAGAUAGGGAUCCAAGUGCACGUCCAAGAGGCUCGGCUUAGAGUCUAACAGCAGGCCUUUAGUCAGUUGAAUAAUAAAGGACUUUUGUUCUUUUGAGAACAUUUUUAGAGCCUGCUACUUCCCACCAGAGGCAAAACAAGGCAGGUUUUAAGUAGUUAGUCCUUGAUGCAGUACUGGUUCCUAUCCACCUGGAGAGGGUAUACCAGCACUUUUAUCUCUCUGCCACUCCCACUAUCCCCACUGCGCCUUCCUUCACUACCUCUGUAGGAUGUAGCUCCAGUACACCUGGUCAGUGACUGUCUUUGCCAGCCAGGAACCCUAGUAAGACCAGCCAGGAGAGGGUACAGGCCUCAUUUUGCCACCGUUCUCCUGUCUCCUCGUGAGCUCUUCUCUGGUCACAAGACUGUCUUUUCUACUCUCUGGGUGAUUUUCAUGAAUCUGCUUGAACAUCCCAUUGCCUAAGCUACUUUUCAUAGAUCAUACUUUCAGUGGCCUUGGGCCCCCCCAACUACGGUGAAUAAUAAAAAUAGCAACAUUAAUAGCUAAUAUUUAUUGAGCAUUAAGUGUUUAUUAUGUUUCAAGCAUUUUACAUACAUUAACUUAUUUAAUCCUCACAACAACCCUACGAAGUGGGUACUAUCUAUUAUUAGCCCCAUUUUCCAGAUGAGUAAAUUGAGGCAUGGAAAGGUUAACUAACUUGCCAAAGGUGGCAUGGGAGAUAUAUAGUAGUAUGUAGAAUCUAGCUCCAAAGCCCACAUGCUUAGUCACUGUCACUAUAGAGGCAAAAUUUCCCCAGUGUAUCCACAGACCACCUAUAUCAGAAUCACUUGGAGAGCCUAUUAAAAAGUUCCAAUCCCAGGGAAAACUAUGCCUUCAUGCUGUCUCACAGGGUGGAUGGACGCAUCUUUCCUUCAUCUUCUGAGGCCUGUGGAUCUCAUAAGCCAGUAUGUCUCAAACUCAGGGGUUAUCAGAAACCCCUUCAGAGCUUGUUAAAAACACAGGCACUGGGGCUCCACCUCCAGAGAGUCUGAUUCAGCAGGCCUGAGGUGGGAUCCAGAAAUGAGCAAUUGCCAUCAUUUUAACUGUCAUAAACACUGAGUAAUCCUCACUGCAGGUUUUCUCCAGCUUUCUUUACCCACUCUGGGCCUCCUUCUGGCUCAGCAAAGGCUCUCACCAUCUCCUGAUGUGAGGCUCUCUCGGCUCUCCACUGCACAGACCUCUCCUUUCUUCAGAUCUUAGAAGGUGUCUUUCCCUGGGCAAAACUGUACAAGUAUGGGUUCUUGAUCCAUCCCCUUCUGGCCUCCAGGGGAGGAUCGAGCACUUUUGCUCUCUUUCCCCUACUCUCUCUGGCUUCUCUCCUCGAACAAUAAAUGCACUCAACCCUGCCUAGAACAACAGAAAAAAAAAAACCUUUCUGCUUUCUACAUGAAUUACUGUUCUCUCUUCUCAUUCACUAUACACUUUUAGAAAGAGUACUUUAUAACCUCCUUGGACAAGUUACUUAACCACUCUUUACAUUAGUUUUCUCAUCUGUAAAAUGAGGAUGAUAGUACAUACCUCAUAGGAUAAGGAAGGAUUAAAUUUAUGAAUAUAUGCAAAGUGCUUUGAGUAAUUCCUGGCACGUGGUAAGUGUUCAAUAUAAUAAUUAUCAGCCAUGUACAUGCUAGCUAUUAUGAUUAUUCAGAAUAGUGAACAAUCUAGUCUCAGUCCUCAUCCUGAAAUUCUGUGACCUUCAAUUUUGAUUGACUUCCCUCUUUUUGUUUUUAAUAUUAUUUACUGAAGAAUAACACACAUACAGAAAAGUGCCCAUUUCAUAAGGGCACAACUCCAUGAGUUUUUUCAAGUGAAUAUACCUGUAUUACUAGUGCUCAGAUUAAGAAAUACAGUAGUAGUAUCAUUACCCUCAGAAGCCUCCCCCCACUCUCUUAGACACUUCUCCCAUUGUAAAAAUUUAUUUUUAACAUUUUUUGUUUUUAUAUGACACCUAAAAUUUUAGAAGGACAAUUAAUUUUCUUGUAAAUUACCUAUUUACUUGUAUGGUCUCAUUUUACAAAUUACUUUGCAGCUUCAUUUUUCUAAUGAGUACUUAAAAUAUGAAGCUACUUUUAGGAAGACAAUGAAUUAAAAAAUUUUUAAUUUGAAUUAUUCAUUAUAAUGAUUUUCUGUGUUUCAAGAAAGAUUUUAACUCUUAAUCAUGUGUAUGGAGGUGGCACUACAAUACUGAAAUUUUUAAAAUUUAACAUUUAGAGCAAGCCUGUUAGGGAAAUUUAUAUUCACUGGAAAAAAAUCAUGGCUAAUUGUUUUUUCAUUAAAAAAAGAAAAGCAUUUGCAAUUUUUUGUUUGUUUGUUUUUUGCGGUACGCGGGCCUCUCACCGCUGUGGCCUCUCCCGUCGCGGAGCACAGGCUCCGGACGCGCAGGCCCAGCGGCCACGGCUCACGGGCCCAGCCGCUCCGCGGCAUGUGGGAUCCUCCCGGACCGGAGCACGAACCCGCAUCCCCUGCAUCGGCAGGCGGACCCCCAAGCACUGCGCCACCAGGGAAGCCCCAUUUGCAAUUUUAAAUGAUUUUUUUCUUAAUUGAAAAAACGUCUUUUGUUUGCAGAAAAAAAUACUACAAAAUGAUUUUAAUGAGUCUCACAGUAUCUAGGAAUCUUUACACUGAUUUGUUUUUAUUGAAAUACAAUAUAAAAUAAAACUGUAAUAUAUGCUCACUGUCAAUAAUCUGGAGAAAUUAAAUUCCAUAAUUCCACUGGGAGAAAACCUCUGUUAGCAUUUUGUGUUUAUUCUUGCCAUGCCUAUUCUACUCAAAUAGAACUGUUAAACAAAGAAACAACAGGCCCAAAAUGAAGUCACUUGUGCUAUGCCCCACAUCAGUAAACCAAGACUUAAUACGUAACCAAAUUGCAGUUUUAACCCAUCCCAUGAAAGUGACUUUAACCAGUCAGUCUGGAAUUUCCUGGCCAGCACUAGUGAGGUAGUCUGCCACAUAGACCCCUGCCUUCCCCAAAAGGAAGGUGACCUUUGUCACCUGAAAUAACCCUUUAUUUUGUUUAUGACUUCUUUGUCCCACCCCUUCUCUGCCUUUCAAAACCUUCCAUUUUGUACAAUUCCUUGGAGCUCCUCUCUACUUGCUAGAUGGGAUGCUGCCCGAUUUAUGAAUUGCUGAAUAAAGCCAAUUGAUCUUCAAAUUUA